AGUGAACGCUGGCGGUAGGCCUAACACAUGCAAGUCGAACGGCAGCACAGUAAGAGCUUGCUCUUACGGGUGGCGAGUGGCGGACGGGUGAGGAAUACAUCGGAAUCUACUUUUUCGUGGGGGAUAUCGUAGGGAAACUUACGCUAAUACCGCAUACGACCUACGGGUGAAAGCAGGGGAUCUUCGGACCUUGCGCGAUUGAAUGAGCCGAUGUCGGAUUAGCUAGUUGGCGGGGUAAAGGCCCACCAAGGCGACGAUCCGUAGCUGGUCUGAGAGGAUGAUCAGCCACACUGGAACUGAGACACGGUCCAGACUCCUACGGGAGGCAGCAGUGGGGAAUAUUGGACAAUGGGCGCAAGCCUGAUCCAGCCAUACCGCGUGGGUGAAGAAGGCCUUCGGGUUGUAAAGCCCUUUUGUUGGGAAAGAAAAGCAGAAGGUUAAUACCCCGCUGUUCUGACGGUACCCAAAGAAUAAGCACCGGCUAACUUCGUG
RNAcentral lists this ribosomal RNA (492 nucleotides) under uncultured bacterium. Its description in RNAcentral is "partial 16S ribosomal RNA". It matches the Rfam family "Bacterial small subunit ribosomal RNA", at positions 29 to 507 of the family's 1533-position model. The record is from RNAcentral.